CGGGGCGUAGCUCAGUUUGGCAGAGCGCGUGUUUUGGGAACACGAGGUCGCAGGUUCGAAUCCUGUCGCCCCGA
RNAcentral lists this transfer RNA (74 nucleotides) under Phycisphaerales bacterium. Its description in RNAcentral is "tRNA-Pro". It matches the Rfam family "tRNA". From Rfam's summary of the family: Transfer RNA (tRNA) molecules are approximately 80 nucleotides in length. Their secondary structure includes four short double-helical elements and three loops (D, anti-codon, and T loops). The record is from RNAcentral. Lineage: Bacteria; Pseudomonadati; Planctomycetota; Phycisphaerae; Phycisphaerales.